UGCCAGCCGCCGCGGUAAUACGGAGGGUGCAAGCGUUAAUCGGAAUUACUGGGCGUAAAGCGCACGCAGGCGGUCUGUCAAGUCGGAUGUGAAAUCCCCGGGCUCAACCUGGGAACUGCAUUCGAAACUGGCAGGCUAGAGUCUUGUAGAGGGGGGUAGAAUUCCAGGUGUAGCGGUGAAAUGCGUAGAGAUCUGGAGGAAUACCGGUGGCGAAGGCGGCCCCCUGGACAAAGACUGACGCUCAGGUGCGAAAGCGUGGGGAGCAAACAGGAUUAGAUA
Molecule: ribosomal RNA, 279 nt
Filed under: uncultured bacterium
Lineage: Bacteria
Description: partial 16S ribosomal RNA
Rfam family: Bacterial small subunit ribosomal RNA
Source: RNAcentral